GGGGGAUUAGCUCAAAAGGAGAGCGGUCGGCCUACACCCGGCAGACGAGGGCGCGAUACCUUCAUCCCCUACCA
RNAcentral lists this transfer RNA (74 nucleotides) under Chthoniobacter sp. Its description in RNAcentral is "tRNA-Val". It matches the Rfam family "tRNA". Rfam says of the family: Transfer RNA (tRNA) molecules are approximately 80 nucleotides in length. Their secondary structure includes four short double-helical elements and three loops (D, anti-codon, and T loops). The record is from RNAcentral. Lineage: Bacteria; Pseudomonadati; Verrucomicrobiota; Spartobacteria; Chthoniobacterales; Chthoniobacteraceae.